UGGGGAAUAUUGGGCAAUGGGCGCAAGCCUGACCCAGCCACGCCGCGUGAGUGAUGAAGGCCUUCGGGUCGUAAAGCUCUGUGGGGAGGGACGAACAAAUCUGGGGCUAAUCACCCGGGUCCUGACGGUACCUCCUUAGCAAGCACCGGCUAACCCUGUGCCAGCAGCCGCGGUAAUACAGGGGGUGCAAACGUUGCUCGGAAUCAUUGGGCGUAAAGCGCACGUAGGCGGUUCGUUAUGUCGGAUGUGAAAGCCCUUGGCUUAACCGAGGAAGUGCAUCCGAAACUGGCGAGCUAGAGUACUAAAGAGGAUCGCGGAAUUCCCGGUGUAGAGGUGAAAUUCGUAGAUAUCGGGAGGAACACCGGUGGCGAAGGCGGCGAUCUGGGUAGAUACUGACGCUGAGGUGCGAAAGCGUGGGGAGCAAACA
RNAcentral lists this ribosomal RNA (427 nucleotides) under uncultured Haliangium sp. RNAcentral's name for it is "bacterial SSU rRNA". It matches the Rfam family "Bacterial small subunit ribosomal RNA", at positions 355 to 774 of the family's 1533-position model. The record is from RNAcentral. Lineage: Bacteria; Pseudomonadati; Myxococcota; Haliangiales; Kofleriaceae.